Pseudonaja textilis is the source of this 180-nucleotide non-coding RNA. The record is from RefSeq and is a predicted model, not a curated record. NCBI's taxonomy places the organism in Eukaryota, Metazoa, Chordata, Lepidosauria, Squamata, Elapidae.
UGAGAUUUCUCUGAGGAGACAGCUGGUCAUUUGCAUUCUUUUAGAGAGUCCUUAAGGCCACUUAGAGGUUUGCCUGUGUCCUCAGGUUCACCCGAGUAGUGCAAAUGGGUGUGGACAUUUUUGGAACUGGCAAAAGGGUUCCUGUAGUUUGUAAUUUUUCGGGAAAUCUGUUUAUACUCC